RNAcentral lists this unclassified non-coding RNA (210 nucleotides) under rhizosphere metagenome. RNAcentral describes it as "partial ribosomal RNA internal transcribed spacer region". The record is from RNAcentral.
GUUGGUGAACCAGCGGAGGGAUCAUUACCGAGUUUUCAACUCCCAAACCCCUGUGAACAUACCUAUCGUUGCUUCGGCGGACACGCCCCGGCGCCCCCGGGCCCGGACCAAGGCGCCCGCCGGAGGCCAAAAAACCACUGUGUAUUAUGUUUUCUUCUGAGUAAUUUUAUAAAUAAAUCAAAACUUUCAACAACGGAUCUCUUGGUUCUG